GGAGCCGACCGUGCCGGUUGGGCCCGUACCGGCCUGUCACGCCGGAGGUCGCGGGUUCGAGUCCCGUCGCUCCC
Molecule: transfer RNA, 74 nt
Filed under: Actinomycetota bacterium
Lineage: Bacteria; Bacillati; Actinomycetota
Description: Actinobacteria bacterium tRNA-Asp
Source: RNAcentral